Molecule: transfer RNA, 64 nt
Filed under: Clinostomum complanatum
Lineage: Eukaryota; Metazoa; Platyhelminthes; Trematoda; Strigeidida; Clinostomidae
Description: tRNA-Ile
Source: RNAcentral
GCCAAUAGGGCUGCGUAGCAGGCCACUUUGAUAUAGUGGAUUGUAAAGUUAAAUUUCGUUGGCA